CCUCCCCGUCGCGCCUCCGCCGCCCGGCUCCCUCCCCGAGCGCGACGCCGCCGCCCUGCUCCCUCCUCCAGUGCGCCGCCGCCGCCCGGCUCCCUCCCCCAGCGCGCCGCCGAUCGGCCCCUCCCCAUGCGAGCUGCGGACUGCCCCAUCUACCCUAGCGUGCCACCACUGGCCCCCUCACCCAGCGCGUCGUCGAGCGCCCCCUGGAUGCCGCAACUCUGGCUGCACCAUCAUGGUGGAGGCGCGGCGCCGUCUUUGAGAUGCUCCAUCAGUUGCUCCUCCUCCUCCUGUUACGCACAAGCUCCAAUUCGUCGAGAUACUCCAUGGAGGAAUUGAGGCUUCGCCAAGGAACAAGACUGGUAACUAGCGCAAAGGAGAAUAUGUCGAGAGGUGGCACUGCUAGACUUGCUGAUGUGUAGUUAUGGCUUAAAAAAGAUGAAAAAAAUUGUAUCUUGUAUGAUUCCAUAAGCUGUACAUAGCAAAUCUUCCCAUGUGGAUCAGUACAACUUAUGUACGGCCUUGAGUUCACAAAUCUUAUAGUAAUCUUUGUAGUACUUUUCGUAACACUAAGUAAAGCAAGAGUAGCCCUUUUUU
Triticum aestivum (bread wheat) is the source of this 594-nucleotide long non-coding RNA. RefSeq lists it as uncharacterized. NCBI's taxonomy places the organism in Eukaryota, Viridiplantae, Streptophyta, Magnoliopsida, Poales, Poaceae. The transcript is spliced from 2 exons. The record is from RefSeq and is a predicted model, not a curated record.